CUGGCGGCACGCCUAAUACAUGCAAGUCGAACGAAGUAGCAAUACUUAGUGGCAGACGGGUGAGUAACAUGUAGGUAUCUUCCCAUUGGUGAGGAAUAACACGAGGAAACUUGUGCUAAUACCUCAUAAGUCUUUACGGAGAAAGCUUUAUGCGCCGAUGGAUGAGCCUGCACUUGAUUAGUUUGUUGGUAGGGUAAUGGCCUACCAAGACAAUGAUCAAUAGCUGAUUUGAGAGGAUGAUCAGCCACAUUGGGACUGAGACACGGCCCAAACUCCUACGGGAGGCAGCAGUAGGGAAUCUUGCACAAUGGGGGAAACCCUGAUGCAGCGAUGCCGCGUGAGUGAAGAAGGCCUUUGGGUUGUAAAGCUCUUUCGUCGGGGAAGAAAAUGACUGUACCCGAAUA
This 404-nucleotide ribosomal RNA is filed under the name uncultured bacterium. Its description in RNAcentral is "bacterial SSU rRNA". It matches the Rfam family "Bacterial small subunit ribosomal RNA", at positions 36 to 485 of the family's 1533-position model. The record is from RNAcentral.